Molecule: ribosomal RNA, 496 nt
Filed under: uncultured bacterium
Lineage: Bacteria
Description: partial 16S ribosomal RNA
Rfam family: Bacterial small subunit ribosomal RNA
Source: RNAcentral
AUGAACGCUGGCGGCGUGCCUAAUACCUGCAAGUCGAGCGAACAGACGAGGAGCUUGCUCCUCUGACGUUAGCGGCGGACGGGUGAGUAACACGUGGAUAACCUACCUAUAAGACUGGGAUAACUUCGGGAAACCGGAGCUAAUACCGGAUAAUAUAUUGAACCGCAUGGUUCAAUAGUGAAAGACGGUUUUGCUGUCACUUAUAGAUGGAUCCGCGCCGCAUUAGCUAGUUGGUAAGGUAACGGCUUACCAAGGCGACGAUGCGUAGCCGACCUGAGAGGGUGAUCGGCCACACUGGAACUGAGACACGGUCCAGACUCCUACGGGAGGCAGCAGUAGGGAAUCUUCCGCAAUGGGCGAAAGCCUGACGGAGCAACGCCGCGUGAGUGAUGAAGGUCUUCGGAUCGUAAAACUGUGUUAUUAGGGAAGAACAAAUGUGUAAGUAACUAUGCACGUCUUGACGGUACCUAAUCAGAAAGCCACGGCUAACUACGUG